Molecule: non-coding RNA, 540 nt
Organism: Bemisia tabaci
Lineage: Eukaryota; Metazoa; Arthropoda; Insecta; Hemiptera; Aleyrodidae
Source: RefSeq, a predicted model, not a curated record
AAAUAUUCAUCACAUGCACUGAUUUUCCAGAUAUAAGCAUUUAGAAGAAAAGUUCUGCCGACUGUGGACUCAGUGUCAACGUUGUCAAGAAAGUUUACAUGAAGAAGUCAUAUGCACCAGCCGUGAUUGUCCAAUUUUCUAUAUGCGCAAGAAAGUACAAAUUGAUUUAGGAGCAUCAGUAAAAGCAAUUCAGAGAUUUGGAAAUCCUGUCUGGUGAUUUUUAGCACCAUUGAUCAUCGUCAAAUAACUGUCCUUCAUAAUUUUCACACUCGCGUAAGUGUUAAUUUAAGUAUUAGAAAAAUGUUUAAACUGUUUUAUUUUUUUAAUGUUCUGAUUCACUCAAUUUUGCCCUCACAUUUGAGGGUCGGCAUGGCACAGAGUUGUCGCUGCCAUUCUUAUUUCCUGUAAUUAAUCAAUAGUUCAUUGUUACCUAGCGUUGCCCUUUUUGUCGCAAAUUCAGCAACCUUGCUAGGAUUGAGCCCUCAGAAGGGCCAUUUGUAAUUAUCGGAAGCAAAAAUAAAGUUGUUUUAUAAUUUUUAC